Long non-coding RNA from Mus musculus (house mouse), 1158 nucleotides. RefSeq annotates it as predicted gene, 54046. NCBI's taxonomy places the organism in Eukaryota, Metazoa, Chordata, Mammalia, Rodentia, Muridae. The transcript is spliced from 3 exons. The record is from RefSeq and is a predicted model, not a curated record.
GUCUGGGUCACCAUGGUCACUGUGCACACUCCGAGAGCACAGCCAAGGCCUGGCUCACUGACCAUAGCCAAGAAUGCUGAACAAGACCAGGUGUCCUCAGCAAAUGGCUGGCGGAGGCUCAGAGAACCUUGGGUUCCGGAUCUCAAGAAUCAGGGAUUGGAUCGUGGAGACGAUUCGGUGCCUGCUCCAGAGUUUACUCCAUAUUGUAUGAAAAAGCAUGAAAUAGCACUUUAUUUGGAGAGCAAAUGCUGAGACACAACGGCCCUGCACUUUGUUUGAGCAGAUUAACAGUCAUCGUCUUUCUCAUACAAACCAUGACACAAACUGACAGCUAGCUAGUCACACGAGUCAAACUGCACCACCUACAAACUUAGAAAAAGUAAGUCAGGAACAUACAGAUACAUUGGCAGAUGAAAACCAUACCAGAAAGACCAGGUCUAUGAAGCUAUCGGACACACCAGACCAACAAAGGAUAUAUCCUUUCACCGAGACCACUUAAUAGGAGAGAUACCUCACGUAUAAACCCACAGGACAUCGCUGGCACCCAUCAACCUGCCAUCAGACCAUUUGGUGUGUGCAGCCCAGUAUCACAGGCAACAGACUCUCAACUGUAUCCCAGGCUUUCAACUCAGCAACAUCUUCCCCGCUUAAAGUGGUCCACUUGAAUUCACUUAGAUGAAUCCUGAACAGCUCUGCAUUUCCUGGUACCCUGUAGGGACAUUUUCUCGAGAUUCUAUCAGACCUUGACUCCAUCUUUAUCACAGUUGCUUUGAACACCCUACCCUCUCUAACUGCUUCGCUGUUAUUCUGUAACUUAUAUCUUACUGUGUAGUGCAAUGUGGGAUCUGAGACUUAAUGUUAGUAAUUAAGAUGACAAUAGAAAAAAAAAUCUGUGAUUGUCAGUGGCCAGACUAUCAAGUGAAAUGAGGAUUUUUCUGGUGAGUUACAGGCAACAAAAAUGACUUAGCGGGGCUGGUGAGAUGGCUCAGUGGGUAAGAGCACCCGACUGUUCUUCCGAAGGUUCAGAGUUCAAAUCCCAGCAACCACAUGGUGGCUCACAACCAUCUGUAACAAGAUCUGAUGCCCUCUUCUGGUGUGUCUGAAGAAAACUACAGUGUACUUACAUAUAAUAAAUAAAUAAAUUAAAAAAAAAAAAAA